RNAcentral lists this ribosomal RNA (1249 nucleotides) under metagenome. Its description in RNAcentral is "bacterial LSU rRNA". It matches the Rfam family "Bacterial large subunit ribosomal RNA", at positions 1634 to 2875 of the family's 2925-position model. The record is from RNAcentral.
CUACACGACCGUACCGCAAACCGACACUGGUGCGCGAGAUGAGUAUUCUAAGGCGCUUGAGAGAACUCAGGAGAAGGAACUCGGCAAAUUGACACCGUAACUUCGGAAGAAGGUGUGCCCUAUUAGUGUGAAGUGAACAACGGAGCAUGAAUGGGUUGCAAAAAAUCGGUGGCUGCGACUGUUUAUUAAAAACACAGCACUCUGCAAACACGAAAGUGGACGUAUAGGGUGUGACGCCUGCCCGGUGCUGGAAGAUUAAAUGAUGGGGUGCAAGCUCUUGAUUGAAGUCCCAGUAAACGGCGGCCGUAACAAUAACGGUCCUAAGGUAGCGAAAUUCCUUGUCGGGUAAGUUCCGACCUGCACGAAUGGCGUAACGAUGGCCACACUGUCUCCUCCUGAGACUCAGCGAAGUUGAAAUGUUUGUGAUGAUGCAAUCUCCCCGCGGAAAGACGGAAAGACCCCAUGAACCUUUACUGUAGCUUUGUAUUGGACUUUGAACAGAUCUGUGUAGGAUAGGUGGGAGGCUUUGAAGCAGGGUCGCUAGAUCUUGUGGAGCCAACGUUGAAAUACCACCCUGGUGUGUUUGAGGUUCUAACCUAGGUCCAUUAUCUGGAUCGGGGACAGUGCAUGGUAGGCAGUUUGACUGGGGCGGUCUCCUCCCAAAGCGUAACGGAGGAGUUCGAAGGUACGCUAGUUACGGUCGGACAUCGUGACGAUAGUGCAAUGGCAUAAGCGUGCUUAACUGCGAGACUGACAAGUCGAGCAGAUGCGAAAGCAGGACAUAGUGAUCCGGUGGUUCUGUAUGGAAGGGCCAUCGCUCAACGGAUAAAAGGUACUCUGGGGAUAACAGGCUGAUACCGCCCAAGAGUUCAUAUCGACGGCGGUGUUUGGCACCUCGAUGUCGGCUCAUCUCAUCCUGGGGCUGUAGCCGGUCCCAAGGGUAUGGCUGUUCGCCAUUUAAAGAGGUACGUGAGCUGGGUUUAAAACGUCGUGAGACAGUUUGGUCCCUAUCUUCCGUGGGCGCUGCAGAUUUGAGGAAGCCUGCUCCUAGUACGAGAGGACCGGAGUGGACACACCUCUGGUGUAUCGGUUGUCACGCCAGUGGCAUUGCCGAGUAGCUAAGUGUGGAAGAGAUAACCGCUGAAAGCAUCUAAGCGGGAAACCCGUUUCAAGAUGAGAUCUGCCGGGGCCUUGAGCCCCCUGAAGAGUCGUUCAAGACCAGGACGUUGAUAGGUCAGGUGUGGAAGUG